CUCAAGAAGUACGACUUCGACAACACCAUGGGAGGCUUCUACAUCGCUCCUGCUUUCAUGGACAAGCUUGUUGUCCAUCUCUCCAAGAACUUCAUGACCCUGCCCAACAUCAAGGUACGUACGACAUGCAUCAUCACCUACUAUUUAAUUUAACUGAUUAGCAGCAAGAAAAUCAUUCCGAUUCUGAAACUGACCUUGAAUCGAAAUUCAGAUCCCACUCAUCUUGGGUAUCUGGGGAGGCAAGGGUCAAGGAAAAUCCUUCCAGUGUGAGCUUGUCUUCGCCAAGAUGGGCAUCAAGUA
Molecule: long non-coding RNA, 300 nt
Filed under: Triticum aestivum (bread wheat)
Lineage: Eukaryota; Viridiplantae; Streptophyta; Magnoliopsida; Poales; Poaceae
Description: long non-coding RNA (TAES_LNC004248)
Source: RNAcentral